GCAAACUUGGUCAUUUAGAGGAAGUAAAAGUCGUAACAAGGUCUCCGUUGGUGAACCAGCGGAGGGAUCAUUACAGAGUUACUAAACUCCCAAACCAUUGUGAACUUACCUAUGUUGCCUCGGUGGUGGCUUACCCUGUACUUACCCUGUAGCUACCCUGUAGCUACCCGGUACUUACCCGGUAGCAGCCGCCGGUGGAUCUUCAAACUCUUGUUUAAUCAUAAGCAUUCUGAGUAAUUACUAUAAUCAGUUAAAACUUUCAACAACGGAUCUCUUGGUUCUGGCAUCGAUGAAGAACGCAGC
This 303-nucleotide unclassified non-coding RNA is filed under the name uncultured fungus. RNAcentral's name for it is "partial contains small subunit ribosomal RNA, internal transcribed spacer 1, and 5.8S ribosomal RNA". The stretch from base 1 to 73 matches the Rfam family "Eukaryotic small subunit ribosomal RNA", at positions 1759 to 1831 of the family's 1831-position model. The record is from RNAcentral. Lineage: Eukaryota; Fungi.